Molecule: ribosomal RNA, 406 nt
Filed under: uncultured soil bacterium
Lineage: Bacteria
Description: bacterial SSU rRNA
Rfam family: Bacterial small subunit ribosomal RNA
Source: RNAcentral
AGAACGAACGCUGGCGGCAGGCUUAACACAUGCAAGUCGAACGCCCCGCAAGGGGGAGUGGCAGACGGGUGAGUAACGCGUGGGAACCUACCCAAUUCUACGGAACAACUGAGGGAAACUUCAGCUAAUACCGUAUACGCCCUACGGGGGAAAGAUUUAUCGGAGUUGGAUGGGCCCGCGUUGGAUUAGCUAGUUGGUGAGGUAACGGCUCACCAAGGCGACGAUCCAUAGCUGGUCUGAGAGGAUGAUCAGCCACACUGGGACUGAGACACGGCCCAGACUCCGUACGGGAGGCAGCGAGGUGGGAAUAGUUGGACAAGUGGGCGCAAGCCUGAUCCAGCCAUCGCCGCGUAGAGUGAUGGAACGGUCCGUUUAGGGUAGUAAAGCUUCUUUACGAGGUGGGGAA